This 253-nucleotide ribosomal RNA is filed under the name uncultured bacterium. Its description in RNAcentral is "partial 16S ribosomal RNA". It matches the Rfam family "Bacterial small subunit ribosomal RNA", at positions 524 to 776 of the family's 1533-position model. The record is from RNAcentral.
UACGAAGGGUGCAAGCGUUAAUCGGAAUUACUGGGCGUAAAGCGUGCGUAGGCGGUUUCUUAAGUCUGCUGUGAAAGCCCCGGGCUCAACCUGGGAAUGGCGGUGGAUACUGAGAAGCUGGAGUACGGUAGAGGAAGGUGGAAUUCCCGGUGUAGCGGUGAAAUGCGUAGAGAUCGGGAGGAACAUCAGUGGCGAAGGCGGCUGCCUGGCCCAAUACUGACACUCAGGUGCGACAGCGUGGGGAGCAAACAGG